AACCAUAGAAACCUGCGGAGUACCUGCGGAAGGAUCAUUAAAGAGUGAUACCUCCCUUCAAAGGGCUGGUAGUAAACUCCAACCCCUAUGUUUUUAUUUACCUUUUUGUUGCUUAGGCGGUUCGUAAAGCAUUUUUUUUUUUUAAAAAAAAUGGCUUUCCAUUGGCUUUUUUCUUAGGCUGAUGAGUUUUAACCGCCUAAGGACUUAAAAACUCUUUGAAAUUUAAGUUUAUUGUCUGAG
This 240-nucleotide unclassified non-coding RNA is filed under the name soil metagenome. Its description in RNAcentral is "partial contains 5.8S ribosomal RNA, internal transcribed spacer 2, and large subunit ribosomal RNA". The record is from RNAcentral.